RNAcentral lists this ribosomal RNA (497 nucleotides) under uncultured bacterium. Its description in RNAcentral is "partial 16S ribosomal RNA". It matches the Rfam family "Bacterial small subunit ribosomal RNA", at positions 28 to 507 of the family's 1533-position model. The record is from RNAcentral.
GAUGAACGCUGGCGGCGUGCCUAGUACAUGCAAGUCGAGCGAACGGACGAGAAGCUUGCUUCUCUGAUGUUAGCGGCGGACGGGUGAGUAACACGUGGAUAACCUACCUAUAAGACUGGGAUAACUUCGGGAAACCGGAGCUAAUACCGGAUAAUAUUUUGAACCGCAUGGUUCAAAAGUGAAAGACGGUCUUGCUGUCACUUAUAGAUGGAUCCGCGCUGCAUUAGCUAGUUGGUAAGGUAACGGCUUACCAAGGCAACGAUGCAUAGCCGACCUGAGAGGGUGAUCGGCCACACUGGAACUGAGACACGGUCCAGACUCCUACGGGAGGCAGCAGUAGGGAAUCUUCCGCAAUGGGCGAAAGCCUUACGGAGCAACGCCGCGUGAGUGAUGAAGGUCUUCGGAUCGUAAAACUCUGUUAUUAGGGAAGAACAUAUGUGUAAGUAACUGUGCACAUCUUGACGGUACCUAAUCAGAAAGCCACGGCUAACUACGUG